GGGUGAGUAACACGUGAGUAACCUGCCCCUGACUCUGGGAUAAGCCUGGGAAACCGGGUCUAAUACCGGAUACGACCAUUUCUCGCAUGGGAUGGUGGUGGAAAGUUUUUUCGGUUGGGGAUGGGCUCGCGGCCUAUCAGCUUGUUGGUGGGGUGAUGGCCUACCAAGGCGACGACGGGUAGCCGGCCUGAGAGGGCGACCGGCCACACUGGGACUGAGACACGGCCCAGACUCCUACGGGAGGCAGCAGUGGGGAAUAUUGCGCAAUGGGCGGAAGCCUGACGCAGCGACGCCGCGUGGGGGAUGACGGCCUUCGGGUUGUAAACCUCUUUCAGCAGGGACGAAGUUGACGUGUACCUGUAGAAGAAGCGCCGGCUAACUACGUGCCAGCAGCCGCGGUAAUACGUAGGGCGCGAGCGUUGUCCGGAAUUAUUGGGCGUAAAGAGCUCGUAGGUGGCUUGUCGCGUCUGCCGUGAAAGCCCGUGGCUUAACUACGGGUCUGCGGUGGAUACGGGCAGGCUAGAGGCUGGUAGGGGCAAGCGGAAUUCCUGGUGUAGCGGUGAAAUGCGCAGAUAUCAGGAGGAACACCGGUGGCGAAGGCGGCUUGCUGGGCCAGUUCUGACGCUGAGGAGCG
This 634-nucleotide ribosomal RNA is filed under the name Microbispora sp. SBP4LS15. Its description in RNAcentral is "bacterial SSU rRNA". It matches the Rfam family "Bacterial small subunit ribosomal RNA", at positions 104 to 755 of the family's 1533-position model. Lineage: Bacteria; Bacillati; Actinomycetota; Actinomycetes; Streptosporangiales; Streptosporangiaceae. The record is from RNAcentral.